GAAUCCCAAAUCCAGUUUUGGGGUGUCCAUGGGAACCCCGAAUCCCGGUCUGGGGUGUCCGUGGGAAUCCCAAAUCCAGUUUUGGGGUGUCCAUGGGAACCCCGAAUCCCGGUCUGGGGUGUCCGUGGGAAUCCCAAAUCCAGUUUUGGGGUGUCCAUGGGAACCCCGAAUCCCGGUCUGGGGUGUCCGUGGGAAUCCCAAAUCCAGUUUUGGGGUGUCCAUGGGAACCCCGAAUCCCGGUCUGGGGUGUCCGUGGGAAUCCCAAAUCCAGUUUUGGGGUGUCCAUGGGAACCCCGAAUCCCGGUCUGGGGUGUCCGUGGGAAUCCCAAAUCCAGUUUUGGGGUGUCCAUGGGAACCCCGAAUCCCGGUCUGGGGUGUCCGUGGGAAUCCCAAAUCCAGUUUUGGGGUGUCCAUGGGAACCCCGAAUCCCGGUCUGGGGUGUCCGUGGGAAUCCCAAAUCCAGUUUUGGGGUGUCCAUGGGAACCCCGAAUCCCGGUCUGGGGUGUCCGUGGGAAUCCCAAAUCCAGUUUUGGGGUGUCCAUGGGAACCCCGAAUCCCGGUCUGGGGUGUCCGUGGGAAUCCCAAAUCCAGUUUUGGGGUGUCCAUGGGAACCCCGAAUCCCGGUCUGGGGUGUCCGUGGGAAUCCCAAAUCCAGUUUUGGGGUGUCCAUGGGAACCCCGAAUCCCGGUCUGGGGUGUCCCCGCCCCCGCCGAUGCCUCCCGUGCCCCGCAGCGCUCCUGGUGCAGGGACAGUUCAGCAGGUUCGAGGGCAUCACCUAUCCCGAGCCAGCCCAGUACUCCCAGUACGACCAGCAGGCAGAAAUUCAGGAUUACUACGACUACCAUGAUGUCACCCCCCGAGCCCCAGAGGAGCAGUUCCGGUUCCAAUCCCAGCAGCAAUCCCAGCAGGAAACCGUGCCAGCCCCGACCCCAGGUGGGUGACAGCCCCCGGGGUGGGUAACAGCCCCCCGAGAUAGAUGACAAUCCCCCAGGGUGGGUGACAGCCCCCGGGGUGGGUAACAGCCCCCCGCCCCCCCCCCCCCCCCCCCCCCCCCCCCCCCCCCCCCCCCCCCCCCCCCCCCCCCCCCCCCCCCCCCCCCCCCCCCCCCCCCCCCCCCCCCCCCCCCCCCCCCCCCCCCCCCCCCCCCCCCCCCCCCCCCCCCCCCCCCCCCCCCCCCCCCCCUGUCCCCUGUCCUUUGUCCCCUGUCCCCUGUCCCUCUGUCCUCUGUCCCCCUGUCUCCCUGUCCCUCUGUCCCUCUGUCCCCCUGUCCCGUUUCUGGGCCGGGGGAGGCGCUGGCUGAGGAAUUCCCGGGAAUUCCCGUUUCCCAGACUGCCGGGAGGAGCAGUACCCCUGCACCCGGCUCUACUCCGUGCACAAGCCCUGCAAGCAGUGCCUGAACGAGAUCUGCUUCUACAGGUGCGUGAGGGAGGGGAAACGUUCCCUGAUCCCUCUGCAGGUUUGGGGAACCCCUCUGCUUUACAUCCCCAUCCUUCCUAUCCCCCAAAAAUUCCAGCCUCCGCCGGGUGUACGUCAUCAACAAGGAGAUCUGCGUCCGCACCGUGUGCGCCCACGAAGAGCUGCUGCGAGGUGAGAGGGGGCACCCCGAAAAUCAGGAUCAUCCCCUUUUUUGGGGAGGGAAAAUCCCGCUGGACGAAAGGUCCGGGGACCCCCGGGGCAGAGCGGGAUCGCGCUUUGGGGUGGGGCUGCGCUGGGGGCCUUCCCCCGCUGCUCUCCCGGAGUUUUCUCGGAGCCAUCCAGGGACAAUCCCUCGCUCCCCGCAGCCGACCUGUGCCGGGACAAGUUCUCCAAGUGCGGGGUGAUGGCCACGAGCGGCCUGUGCCAGACGGUGGGAGCGUCCUGCGCCCGCAGCUGCGGCGGCCCCCCCCCCCCCCCCCCCCCCCCCCCCCCCCCCCCCCCCCCCCCCCCCCCCCCCCCCCCCCCCCCCCCCCCCCCCCCCCCCCCCCCCCCCC
RNAcentral lists this long non-coding RNA (1970 nucleotides) under Ficedula albicollis (Collared flycatcher). RNAcentral describes it as "lncRNA (ENSFALG00000026086.1)". The record is from RNAcentral. Lineage: Eukaryota; Metazoa; Chordata; Aves; Passeriformes; Muscicapidae.